Molecule: ribosomal RNA, 657 nt
Filed under: Salmonella enterica
Lineage: Bacteria; Pseudomonadati; Pseudomonadota; Gammaproteobacteria; Enterobacterales; Enterobacteriaceae
Description: partial 23S ribosomal RNA
Rfam family: Bacterial large subunit ribosomal RNA
Source: RNAcentral
ACCCUUUAAUGUUUGAUGUUCUAACGUGGACCCGUGAUCCGGGUUGCGGACAGUGUCUGGUGGGUAGUUUGACUGGGGCGGUCUCCUCCUAAAGAGUAACGGAGGAGCACGAAGGUUGGCUAAUCCUGGUCGGACAUCAGGAGGUUAGUGCAAUGGCAUAAGCCAGCUUGACUGCGAGCGUGACGGCGCGAGCAGGUGCGAAAGCAGGUCAUAGUGAUCCGGUGGUUCUGAAUGGAAGGGCCAUCGCUCAACGGAUAAAAGGUACUCCGGGGAUAACAGGCUGAUACCGCCCAAGAGUUCAUAUCGACGGCGGUGUUUGGCACCUCGAUGUCGGCUCAUCACAUCCUGGGGCUGAAGUAGGUCCCAAGGGUAUGGCUGUUCGCCAUUUAAAGUGGUACGCGAGCUGGGUUUAGAACGUCGUGAGACAGUUCGGUCCCUAUCUGCCGUGGGCGCUGGAGAACUGAGGGGGGCUGCUCCUAGUACGAGAGGACCGGAGUGGACGCAUCACUGGUGUUCGGGUUGUCAUGCCAAUGGCACUGCCCGGUAGCUAAAUGCGGAAGAGAUAAGUGCUGAAAGCAUCUAAGCACGAAACUUGCCCCGAGAUGAGUUCUCCCUGAGACUUAAAGUCUCCUGAAGGAACGUUGAAGACGACGACGU